AAUUCUAAUAACCGAUAAGAAGUAUAUGUUUAUGGAUUAUUUAAACUUUUAAUUAUUUUCAUUCAUAAGUAAUAUUAAAAAGAAUAUGGAUUAUUAUUAUUGCCUUUUAUACAAAACCCUCUCUCCCGUCAAAUUUCUUCCCCAUCCUUCUUCCAACGGUAACUCUCUCUACUUCCUCUCCCCUCUCCCCUUCUCUUUCGCUCUCUGUGAGUAACCCAUCUUGCCGAUCCACACCAUCAUCUUCUCCUAGCCCUAACGGCGCCAGAAUCAAGAGCGGCAGACCCCUCGGAAACCCAAUUCGUCUUCCAAAGUCCUUUUGUUCCACCGUCACCGUCAGAUCCCGACUCCAUGGUUCUUGAUUCCAAACCCUCGCCGGCUAAGUUGAAGAGCCCGCUUCCACCUAGGUCUCCCUCUUCUAACCCACUUAAGCGGAAGGUAUGAAGACCGUUCCUGAGAAUUCCAUCUCUGGAUUGUCUGAUUCGGGUAUGAAGGUGGUAGUGCGCUUGCUGCCGCCAUCCAAGGACGGAGAUGAAGGGGAUAAUAUAAUACAAAAGGUUAUGUGUCGAUGAAGUUAGCGGACAGUGGGCAGAUGCAGAUGAAUUCUUUAAUGAGGAACAGGCUAUGUGAAAGAGACCAGGCUAUUCGCAAACUGGAAAGGGAAAUAGAAGAUAAAGAUAGGGAAUUGCAAUCAAUUAAAUUAGACAACGACGCAGCUUGGGCCAAGGAUGAUCUUCUGCGGGAACAAGAUAAGGAAAUAGCAACUUAAAGGAACAAGGAUAAUUAAUCAAUGAAAAAGAAAUGAAGAGGUUUAUCCAUGCAAGCUUCAAACCAAAGUCAAGGAUGUCGAUCCUUCCAGGGGAGUCCAAAGUUCCCCCUUAUUCUUCUCCCUUUAUAUUGAUUUUCAAAAGCUUGCAAUUUUUUAAGUGGGGGUGGGCAAUAGCUUACAUGUUUAGUCUAAACUUGGGGGUUCAAAUGUUUUGCCCAAAUUUCAAAAUUUCUAAAAAAAAUUUCCUUACAAUAAGGAGCAUUAUACCUUAUUAGCUUACUUAGAUCUUGCAUAAAAAGCAUGACCGGCAACCCUUGACCACUGAGCUUGGGUUUGUGAUGUAAAAUUCUGAAUGUUGAUGAUUAUAUGUGCUGAAAUUUGAGAAUAAGCUGCCGUCUUUUUUGGUUUA
Long non-coding RNA from Cucumis sativus (cucumber), 1175 nucleotides. RefSeq lists it as uncharacterized. NCBI's taxonomy places the organism in Eukaryota, Viridiplantae, Streptophyta, Magnoliopsida, Cucurbitales, Cucurbitaceae. The record is from RefSeq and is a predicted model, not a curated record. The transcript is spliced from 5 exons.